Non-coding RNA from Myodes glareolus (Bank vole), 1213 nucleotides. NCBI's taxonomy places the organism in Eukaryota, Metazoa, Chordata, Mammalia, Rodentia, Cricetidae. The record is from RefSeq and is a predicted model, not a curated record.
UUCUCUGCAGGUCCUGCAUGUUCAUUUUAUCAAGCAGUCCAGCUUUGAAGAUUCUGGGUUCUUGCUAACAGGCAACAGAGAAUGGAGCAACCUUCUAGGGCAUCUACUGAAAAGCAACCUGUUUGAUUUAAGACAGCACAUCUGAGUGAAUCAACUCCUGCCAUAUGUUAAACUGGUUCAACUUUGAUGUCAACAUGGCUGAAUCCAGAAUCAACAAGCAGGCUGAGGCUAUGAGAGAGGACCGAGGUCCUCAUUUACGACCUGUGAACAAGACAACCUGUCUACAUGCUAAUCAUGGACUUCUUGCCAUCCAACUGUAAGUCAAUAAAUUUCUAUGGUGUAAAUCAUCCAUCUUGCCUUCUUUCUUUCUUUUUCUUGCUUUUUUUAGCCACACUAAGAGUUGAUUUGUUUUAUGUUGAAUUAUGCAACUUUAUUAUAUACCAACAAACUUCUUUAGUUUUUUGUUAUUGUUGUUGUUUUCCAAUACCUAUUUGAUGCAACUUAAUCUGAUACCAUAAACAUUAGACCUGGCCUGAGAAUUCUCACCUGAUACAAACUCUUGAAAUUUAUGCAUGGUAAGGAAAGAACAAAAUUCAUCUUUUUUUAGUUAUUGUGAAAAUUUGCAUGAGAACUAUCCCCAUUGGCUCAAGUAUUUAAAAACUUUGUCCUAAGUUGGUGUUUUUCUUUAGGUAAAUUGUGGGAAUUUGGGAAGUGUAGACCUUAAGAGGGUAUUAUGUCACUAGGGGUGGAAUUUAAGAGUUUAGUAGCUUCAUAUAAUUUUCCUUCCCUGAGUUGGGAACUCUCAGCUUCUUUUUCUACCUGCCUGCUGCCAUGCCUCCUCUACAAUGGUUGACACUCCCUCUGGGACCCUAGACAACUUAAAAUAUUUCUUUCACAAUUUGUUUUUAGUCUUGGUGUUUGACACAGCAGCAGAAAGAAAACUAGAACACUUAUUAUAGAAAGUAAUGCAUUUUGUGUUGAAUCUCAUUUUCAUACAUGGUUACCACUGUAACUUUUCUCUUUUUCUCUGAUGCGACCUCCAACUACUCCACACAUAAAGAAGUUAGAGGAAUUAUUUUUUAUAACCUUCUUGUUACUCAAUGUCUUUCAAACCAACUGGACAAGACACUGACAUAAUUUUCCCUCUUGUCAACAGUGAGAAUAAUACUAAAAUUCAUCAUGUUAAACAUUUCAUGUGAAUUUAGUUUUUAAA